Pyrus x bretschneideri (Chinese white pear) is the source of this 1775-nucleotide RNA transcript. It is a transcript of the gene named E3 ubiquitin-protein ligase RHF2A, with no coding region annotated. Lineage: Eukaryota; Viridiplantae; Streptophyta; Magnoliopsida; Rosales; Rosaceae. The record is from RefSeq and is a predicted model, not a curated record. The transcript is spliced from 10 exons.
GAAAGGGAAACUCAUUAGCAACCAAACUCAUUCUGCUCUCUCUCUCUCUCUCUCCCUCCCUCCUCCCUCCCUCUCUCUAGGGUUUUCGCUGUCCCCUUAAUCCCAAUUCCAACUUCAUCUCUACAAUCAAAGAUCCAUUUUUUGGCUGUACACUUUCUUGACUUUACAGUUUUUCAUGGAGGCGGCUCCGGGAGGAGAAGAGACCAACAAAUCUGAUGCCCACUUGACGUCAGCAGCAGCUUUUGUGGAGGGAGGAAUCCAGGAAGCCUGUGAUGAUGCUUGCAGUAUAUGCCUGGAGGCCUUCUGUGACAACGAUCCUUCUACGUUGACCGGUUGCAAGCAUGAAUUUCAUCUUCAGUGCAUUCUUGAGUGGUGUCAGCGAAGCUCCCAAUGCCCUAUGUGCUGGCAACCCAUCAGCUUGAAGGAUCCCACUGGCCAGGAACUGCUAGAGGCAGUAGAACAAGAGAGAAGUAUUAGGUCGAAUCCACCUCGAAAUACCACAAUAUUUCAUCAUCCAACUCUUGGGGAUUUUGAGUUGCAGCAUUUACCUAUGGGUGUAAAUGAUGCUGAACUUGAAGAGCGUAUAAUCCAGCACUUAGCUGCUGCUGCCGCAAUGGGUCGGGCACGCCACAUUGCUAGAAGGGAAGGACAAAGGAAUAGGUCAUCAGCUCAUGGUCGUCCACAAUACCUGGUCUUCUCUACCAAUCCUAAUGCACCUCAGGCUCAUGCUUCUUCUUCCCCUGAUCAGAUGGGAGAAGGUGAACCAUCUCCUUCAAUUGCAGUAACUUUCCCGUCGCCUCCUAUGAAUAGGGAAGAAUCUUCUCAAGCAACCACUCCCGUACAUUCGUCACAAUCUGGUUCUGUUUCUGCAUCAGCAUCUGGAUCUAGUAAUUCGGCUCUGAAUCAACAAGGGUCUUCCAUGAGCAAUAGGAGGUCGCCUAGUCAGUCAUCCCCAAGUACCCAAGAUAGAGCUGGACCAUCAGACUUGCAAUCCUUUUCAGAAUCUCUGAAAUCUCGAUUUAAUGCAGUAUCAACGAGAUACAAAGAGUCAAUUUCAAAGAGCACAAGAGGUUGGAAGGAGAGGUUGUUCUCUCGCAAUGCUUCCAUGGCAGAUCUUGGUUCAGAAGUUAAAAGAGAGGUUAACGCAGGGAUCGCAACUGUAUCACGCAUGAUGGAGCGUCUGGAAACAAAAGACGAUAACACAAUUAAUGAGGCUUCUGUGUCAAAUAGUUUAGACAGUCCGGUUUCUGAAUCAGACAAUCGGCGGAUAUCAGAAAGGGGUGGUGAAAAUUCUGUAAAUGACCAUAAUAGACUGGCUGCCUGUACUGCAGGUUCUAGUUCAAAUUAGGCAUUCUUCAGCAAUUGCAUUAACUCAAAGAAGUUCUUUAUAUAAGUGUGGAAGAAAUAGGCAUGGAUUUCUUUGGGAGUUCAAGAUUUGUGCGAGGGAGGUGAAAGGUGGAAUCGCCCCUUUGAGCUACCAGAGCGCUGUGGAUAUGAUGCUUUGCCAUCGUCAUCGUCUUCCAGUGGAUGGUCUGUUUACGUUUGGAAAGAGCAUUGGUUUGCUGAUUAAGAUCUGAUUCAGAAUAAAGAAACCAUAGAGUAAAUGCUCUACUUUUUAAGCCUGAAUGCCAUUAUCUGCUUGUAAAUUGCUUUAUCCUUAACUUAUUUAUGAAUAUACUUCUGUCGUACAUGUUAGGUGUCUUUGAAUCAUACAUACAUACAUGUAGACAAUUCACUUUUAUAUGGGAUUAUACAGUAAUUUUCUUCGUGUUGUA